AAAAAGUAUGUUCAACAGUACAACCACAGAUAAGCAAGAUUUCAUUCAUUUAGUAGGUAUGCUCAAGGACCAGGAAUAGCUUCCUUCAAAAAGAAGAGAGGAUACAUACCAGAGUAUAGAAGUUUAACACUGGAAAGGUACUGUGACAUUAUGUUAAGAAGGUUCUGGAAUGCCAGGCUAAGAAGUACAGACUUUAUCCUAUAGGCCUGUGAUUCUCAACUAGGACCAAAGUUACAAAAUUGGAUGAAAACUUCCAGUGGAUACUGAAAAUACAACGAGUUAUGUGAGCACAUCUGUGUAGGAGGGGAAGAAGCAGUUCUCAUGAUCGUCUAGAAGACAAACCCUUGGACCACUGAAGAAUUCACCUGAAGAAUAAAUCUGUCUUACAGCAUUAAGUUUGUCUACAAUGUCUGCACAUGCAAUGGACAUUAGUGCCUAUUAAAUGCCAAGCACUAUAUUAAGCAAUGGGGAUACAGGGAUAAUUAAGUCCCAGUCUCUAGCCUGGGAGGCGUUCAGUCUGGGGAAGACAGAAAUGUAAAUAUUUAUGAAUCUAAUGAACUCAGUGCUACAGAAACACAGAAGUAUUUAACAUAUGAACAAAAAACCUACAGCCACCUAAAUGUUAAUGUCUUACUUUCAGUUUCAU
RNAcentral lists this long non-coding RNA (646 nucleotides) under Homo sapiens (human). Its description in RNAcentral is "HSALNT0124662". Lineage: Eukaryota; Metazoa; Chordata; Mammalia; Primates; Hominidae. The record is from RNAcentral.